GAUGAACGCUGGCGGCGUGCCUAAUACAUGCAAGUCGAGCGAACAGACGAGGAGCUUGCUCCUCUGACGUUAGCGGUGGACGGGUGAGUAACACGUGGAUAACCUACCUAUAAGACUGGGAUAACUUCGGGAAACCGGAGCUAAUACCGGAUAACAUGUUGAACCGCAUGGUUCAACAGUGAAAGACGGUCUUGCUGUCACUUAUAGAUGGAUCCGCGCCGCAUUAGCUAGUUGGUAAGGUAACGGCUUACCAAGGCAACGAUGCGUAGCCGACCUGAGAGGGUGAUCGGCCACACUGGAACUGAGACACGGUCCAGACUCCUACGGGAGGCAGCAGUAGGGAAUCUUCCGCAAUGGGCGAAAGCCUGACGGAGCAACGCCACGUGAGUGAAGAAGGUCUUCGGAUCGUAAAACUCUGUUAUUAGGGAAGAACAAAUGUGUAAGUAACUAUGCACGUCUUGACGGUACCUAAUCAGAAAGCCACGGCUAACUACGUG
Molecule: ribosomal RNA, 497 nt
Filed under: uncultured bacterium
Lineage: Bacteria
Description: partial 16S ribosomal RNA
Rfam family: Bacterial small subunit ribosomal RNA
Source: RNAcentral